GAUGAACGCUGGCGGCAUGCCUAACACAUGCGAGUCGAUCGGUAAGGCUCUUCGGAGUACACGAGAGGCGGACGGCUGAGUAACGCGUAGGAACACACCCUGCAGUGAGGGAUAAGACACCGAAAGGUGUUCUAAUACCGCAUACGGUCUUCGGAUUAAAGCAUUUAUGCGCUGAAGGAGUGGCCUGCGUCAUAUUAGAUAGUUGGUGAGGUAAUGGCUCACCAAGUCGAUGAUGUGUAGCUGGUCCGAGAGGAUGAUCAGCCAGACUGGAACUGAGACACGGUCCAGACUCCUACGGGAGGCAGCAGUGAGGAAUAUUUCACAAUGAGCGAAAGCUUGAUGGAGCAAUGCCGCGUGCAGGAUGAAGGCCCUCGGGUUGUAAACUGCUUUUAUAAGAGAAGAUUAUGACGGUAACUUAUGAAUAAGGGACGGCUAACUACGUG
This 443-nucleotide ribosomal RNA is filed under the name uncultured bacterium. RNAcentral describes it as "partial 16S ribosomal RNA". It matches the Rfam family "Bacterial small subunit ribosomal RNA", at positions 28 to 507 of the family's 1533-position model. The record is from RNAcentral.